This 158-nucleotide ribosomal RNA is filed under the name Cantharocybe gruberi. RNAcentral describes it as "5.8S ribosomal RNA". It matches the Rfam family "5.8S ribosomal RNA". Rfam says of the family: 5.8S ribosomal RNA (5.8S rRNA) is a component of the large subunit of the eukaryotic ribosome. It is transcribed by RNA polymerase I as part of the 45S precursor that also contains 18S and 28S rRNA. Functionally, it is thought that 5.8S rRNA may be involved in ribosome translocation. Lineage: Eukaryota; Fungi; Basidiomycota; Agaricomycetes; Agaricales; Hygrophoraceae. The record is from RNAcentral.
CAACUUUCAACAACGGAUCUCUUGGCUCUCGCAUCGAUGAAGAACGCAGCGAAAUGCGAUAAGUAAUGUGAAUUGCAGAAUUCAGUGAAUCAUCGAAUCAUUGAACGCACCUUGCGCCCCUUGGUAUUCCGAGGGGCAUGCCUGUUUGAGUGUCAUUA